Solanum tuberosum (potato) is the source of this 328-nucleotide long non-coding RNA. RefSeq lists it as uncharacterized. The record is from RefSeq and is a predicted model, not a curated record. The transcript is spliced from 3 exons. Lineage: Eukaryota; Viridiplantae; Streptophyta; Magnoliopsida; Solanales; Solanaceae.
AAUCUACAUGAAUAUUGAGAAUUUCGCACAAAAACAGUCUGACGCUCAACCUCUCAGCCUCCGAUAAAAUUGAACAAUGAACGGAUUUUCUGUGAGUUGUAAAUGACGUUAGAAGAGGAGUGUGCACAUGUGAAAGUAGAGGUAGAGAAGAGGAUUCAAGAACAAUGUUGAUUUCAUGACCAUAAUGCAACAAGGACAGGGUUCUUAAACAAUGGUGUAGAUCAAAGCAAAGUUUCAAGGCACUUAAUAUUUUGUUUUUCGGGUCAUGUGUAUAUUUGUACAAUGAUAUAUUGUAAUUAACUUUUUAAUAAUUGAAGUAUUUAUAAAA